AUGCUAUUAGCUAUUCUGUUGAUUCUUCUCCAAACAGGAACCACCGAUUUACAAAUUUUAUUAACCACUGAAUUUAGUGAGCGGCGCCAAAUCCUUCUAUGGAUUGCUUUUUUCGCCUCUUUUGCCGUCAAAGUGCCUAUGGUACCAGUUCAUAUUUGGUUACCCGAAGCCCAUGUAGAGGCACCUACGGCUGGAUCCGUCAUCUUGGCUGGAAUUCUUUUAAAAUUGGGAACCUACGGGUUUUUAAGAUUUUCCAUACCCAUGUUUCCCGAGGCGACACUUUGUUUCACUCCUUUCAUUUAUACUCUAAGCGCGAUUGCUAUAAUAUAUACUUCCUUGACCACUUUAAGACAGCUCGAUCUUAAGAAGAUCAUUGCCUACUCCUCAGUAGCCCAUAUGAAUUUGGUGACUAUUGGUAUGUUUAGUCGGGCGGCGGCCGUUAGGUCACCUAUUUUGAGUUAUGGACACACAAGCAAGGCCAAAACAUGUGUGCCGGGCGUGCGACCCAUCAACCUACUAGCAAUAGGGGAGAAAACUUAG
Molecule: ribosomal RNA, 540 nt
Filed under: Triticum aestivum (bread wheat)
Lineage: Eukaryota; Viridiplantae; Streptophyta; Magnoliopsida; Poales; Poaceae
Description: partial small subunit ribosomal RNA
Source: RNAcentral